RNAcentral lists this transfer RNA (74 nucleotides) under Paractinoplanes ovalisporus. RNAcentral describes it as "tRNA-Gly". It matches the Rfam family "tRNA". Rfam says of the family: Transfer RNA (tRNA) molecules are approximately 80 nucleotides in length. Their secondary structure includes four short double-helical elements and three loops (D, anti-codon, and T loops). The record is from RNAcentral. Lineage: Bacteria; Bacillati; Actinomycetota; Actinomycetes; Micromonosporales; Micromonosporaceae.
GCGGUUGUAGCUCAGUCUGGGAGAGCGCCACCCCGCCACGGUGGAGGUCGCCGGUUCGAACCCGGCCUGCCGCU